This 773-nucleotide unclassified non-coding RNA is filed under the name Hevea brasiliensis (rubber tree). Lineage: Eukaryota; Viridiplantae; Streptophyta; Magnoliopsida; Malpighiales; Euphorbiaceae. The record is from RNAcentral.
GUUCAUCAAUAACAAAACCAACCUGUAAAUAAAAUGGAAUUAGCGGGAGAUACUGAUCAAAACCACCAUGUAUCACCUAAACGUAUAGUGAGCAUGUGAAGUUGUCUGAUGAGACAAAAUACAGAGAAUAUAUAUUUACUUUACAAAUUGCUGAACUUUAUUUUCCAGAGAAAAGAAUAAAAUAUGCUGCUAUAUAUCCAAUGAUCAAACCACCUAAAUUUCAAGACUACAUCACUUUAUUGCAAUAGUAAGACAAGAAUUAGUAAGAAGCAGCUUGCUCAGAAAAUGUAAAGAAAGGAGAAAUGUUGUUCCAAUGACACGAAAAGGAUUGACACAUUUCAAGGAAGCAUUACUGUUUGACUCAGUCAUAAAUUCAGCACCAGUAUAUACAAUUUACAAGGAGUUGAGAUGGCCAAAAUCACACAAAGGGGUAAUAGUUGCUGAUCCAACUCAGAUUCACCUGCAAACUCACCAUAAAGUUCUCUUUUGUUCUUCUUUUGUGAUUAGAAACUUUGACCAAGUAUGAAUUUUUUGAAGAAUUGAAGAGGAAAUGAAUAAGAAACAAUGUUAGUCUUUAGCUUUAAUAUAAUCCAAAAUCUGCAUGUAUAAAUACAAUUCUAUGUUGAUAUGCACCAGAGACGCCAGAAUGACGAAUACAACUAAAAGAAAUUAGAAUUGAUCCUCUUAUCAUUAGCACAACUGGCUGCACUUUCAAGAGCUGGCAAAAAUCAAUAAAUGGAUCCAAAAGUAACCUUGUCAAGUAACCUCUUAGG